UACAGAGGGCUCAAGCGUUAAUCGGAAUCACUGGGCUUAAAGGGUCCGCGAGUGGAUGGAAGAUCUUGUGAAAUACCACGGCUCAACCGUGGAACUGCUCGGUAAACUUCCAAUCUUGAACACGGUAGGGGCCAUCGGAACUCUAGGUGGAGCGGUGAAAUGCGUAGAUAUCUAGAGGAACGCCAGAGGCGAAGGCGGAUGGCUGGGCCGUUGUUGACGCUCAGGGACGAAAGCAUGGGUAGCGAACGGGAUUAGAUACCCCCGUAGUCC
Molecule: ribosomal RNA, 270 nt
Filed under: uncultured bacterium
Lineage: Bacteria
Description: partial 16S ribosomal RNA
Rfam family: Bacterial small subunit ribosomal RNA
Source: RNAcentral